Long non-coding RNA from Eriocheir sinensis (Chinese mitten crab), 2653 nucleotides. RefSeq lists it as uncharacterized. Lineage: Eukaryota; Metazoa; Arthropoda; Malacostraca; Decapoda; Varunidae. The transcript is spliced from 3 exons. The record is from RefSeq and is a predicted model, not a curated record.
GAUCUUGGCCGGUUUAUAUAAGCAAAAUCUCUACAGUCAAUACAUGAACUAUUUCUCUACGCGGAGGGCGGUACACAUUGGUUGCUUCGAGGAGGAAUUAGCGCGCAUUCACAAGCUGGCAGCCGCUGAAGCAACAGUGUAAUUGGUGUCCAGCGUGUGCCUCUUCUUUUAAAUUCGUGGUCAUUUCCUGAACUAUAUCGUCUAUUGCAUCAUAGAUCGGAAAGACAAGUGAGGAACGAACUGUCAGGUCCCUCUAGUGUUCAAAAUCUAGUGUCUGUCACGCGAUAAACUUGCCUCCAUACACGCCGGCUUAUCUUUGGUCCGCGGCCCGCCACAACCAGCACCCCCACCGCCGCCGCCUCCACGGGUCCCUCAGCUGCCAAGUCGUCCGCGGGAGGACCUGAGGCGGCCCAUCCUGAACAUGGAGCGUCGUCUGUCCCGCCCCGCCGCCCAUCACCCGACACGGUCCGCCACAGCCAGGCCUCUGUCUACCCUUCAUGCCCCCUGAUUACCCCCAUUAGUCGGCUGCGAGGACUCAUUCCACCCCCGCUGAGGUGCGAAGAGGAGGUGGGCGAGAGAAGGUAAUGGCGUCAAGGGAAGAUGAAUCGAAGCCCCGGGACGGAAAGCAAGCAAGCCGGCACGCACGAAGGGGAGAUAUCACAAGCGGAGGGGAACAACGAGAGCAAGGUCGCAGCAUAGAGGGCGAAGGAUGAGAAAGGAAAUAAAAUAAAAAAAAGGAAACCAAGACACGCGAAGAGGCGAGAAGACUAAAUAUAAAGACUCGCAGGGGAGAUAUAUUAUUACAAGCGAAGGGGAACAACAGGAGCAAGGUCGCAGCAUAGAGGGCGAAGGAUGAGAAAGGAGAUAAAAAAAAAAACAGAGGAAGCCAAGACACACGAAGAGGCGAGAAGACUAAAUAUAAUGACACGCAUUGGAGAUAUAUUAUUACAAGCGAAGGGAAGCAAGGUCGCUGUGGUCACAGUAUAAAAGACGAAGAUUGAGAAAGGAAAUAAAACCAAAGAGGAGGCAAAGAAUGUAACGACAAAUAAAACACGAAGAGAUAAUUAGACAGUAAAAAGAGACACGCAAGGGAGAUAUUACAAGCGAAAGGAAAAACAACAGGAGCAAGGUCACAGUACAAAGGAUGAGAAAGGAAAUAAAGAAAAGAGGAAAGCAAAAGAAUGUUGGGACAAAUAAGAACACUUGAAGAAAGAGAGAAAGACACACACAAAAAAAAAGAGAAAGGAGGUGGAGGAGAAGAGGAGGAGCUGACGUGUGAAGAAAAGGAAAAUAGAGGAGGACGAAAGAGAGAGAGAGGGGGAGGGAGAGAGGUAGAGGAUGGAGGAGGGUAGAGGAAGGUAGGUAGGUUGAGGGGAAGAGGUCAGGAGAGGGAUAAACAAGAGAGGAAUGAUGAAAGUACGAGUGGGCACGACUGACGAGAGUGUGUGUGUGUGUGUGUGUGUGUGUGUGUGUGUGUGUGUGUGUGUGUGUGUGUGUGUGUGUGUGUGUUUUCAAGUCUUAGAGACACAGACAUACAGAAAAAGACAAACAGACACAUAGAAACAGACAAACAGACACAUAAAUACAUAGAAACACACAAGCACAGACGCAAAAACUGACAAAAACAGACAAAUCACCAGAAACAGACCGUCAAACAGAGACAGACAGCCAUACAGCUCGAUAGACAGACAGAGACACAGAGAAGACACAGACAGACAGACACGUAGCAAGGCAAGGCAGGGAGGAGACAGACAGAUACCAAGACAAGGCAAGGCAGGGAGGCAAAUUACAGUGUGGGUGAGUGAGUGGGGUGCAGGAGGAGUGAGUGAGUGGGCCGCCGUCUCUUCCGUAUGACGUAAUUCCUCUCUCGUCUCCUGCUGCUCCGGCCACCUAGCUCCUCCACUUCCAUUCGUCAGCCCUCGAAAAACACAACAUACGCAUUACCGUUCCCCGCGCGGCCAUUUGCGUCCCGGUAAUGGGCUCUAAGGCGCGGUAAGCGAUGCAUUUCAAUUAGACAGGUCAUUGCAUAUUCAUUGUUACACUUAGGUUGAGGUGCGCGGUGAUCCACAUAACGAGAGGAGCGAGCUGGGAGGCGGGAACACACACAUACACACACACACACGCACACGCACACGCACACAAACAUAUACAUACACACACACGCUAAGUCACUGUGCCAUAUAAUUUAGGGAAUAUAAACUUCUUUUUUUUACAGCUAAGGAGACAGUUCAAGGGCGUAAAGAAAAAUAUUAAAAAAAAAGCCCGCUACUUACUGCUCCUGAAUAGAGGUCAAAGUCUACUUAACAAAUAAUAAAAAAAAAGAUAGCAGGAAUAACGUCAAGGAUACUAUUAAUACUUGUAAUAACACGAAUACUAAGGCUUACACUACUAAAGAGAAUGAGAAUAGGAAUGAGAAUAAUGACAGCAGCAGUGGGGUUCAAGUGAAGAUGCGUCCGCGGUGACUUAGCAGAAGCAGCAUCAGUAUCAUCUCUACCAUCACAGCAUCAUCAGCCAGGUGGCGGGAGUGAAAGCCAUACCUGGGCCCCUCACGCGACCCUCACAGGUGCCGGCGAGGGAGUCCGCGGAGGUGACGAGUGAGAGUGACCGUGGGUGUAGGGGGAGGAGGAGGAGGAGGAGGAAGGGUUGUAGGUGC